GAUGAACGCUGGCGGCGUGCCUAAUACAUGCAAGUCGAGCGAACAGACGAGGAGCUUGCUCCUCUGACGUUAGCAGCGGACGGGUGAGUAACACGUGGAUAACCUACCUAUAAGACUGGGAUAACUUCGGGAAACCGGAGCUAAUACCGGAUAAUAUAUUGAACCGCAUGGUUCAAUAGUGAAAGACGGUUUUGCUGUCACUUAUAGAUGGAUCCGCGCCGCAUUAGCUAGUUGGUAAGGUAACGGCUUACCAAGGCAACCAUGCGUAGCCGACCUGAGAGGGUGAUCGGCCACACUGGAACUGAGACACGGUCCAGACUCCUACGGGAGGCAGCAGUAGGGAAUCUUCCGCAAUGGGCGAAAGCCUGACGGAGCAACGCCGCGUGAGUGAUGAAGGUCUUCGGAUCGUAAAACUCUGUUAUUAGGGAAGAACAAAUGUGUAAGUAACUAUGCACGUCUUGACGGUACCUAAUCAGAAAGCCACGGCUAACUACGUG
RNAcentral lists this ribosomal RNA (497 nucleotides) under uncultured bacterium. Its description in RNAcentral is "partial 16S ribosomal RNA". It matches the Rfam family "Bacterial small subunit ribosomal RNA", at positions 28 to 507 of the family's 1533-position model. The record is from RNAcentral.